RNAcentral lists this ribosomal RNA (253 nucleotides) under uncultured bacterium. RNAcentral describes it as "partial 16S ribosomal RNA". It matches the Rfam family "Bacterial small subunit ribosomal RNA", at positions 524 to 776 of the family's 1533-position model. The record is from RNAcentral.
UACGUAGGGGCCUAGCGUUGUCCGGAUUUAUUGGGCGUAAAGAGCUCGUAGGCGGUUUGUCGCGUCUGCUGUGAAAACCCGAGGCUCAACCUCGGGCCUGCAGUGGGUACGGGCAGACUAGAGUGCGGUAGGGGAGAUUGGAAUUCCUGGUGUAGCGGUGGAAUGCGCAGAUAUCAGGAGGAACACCAAUGGCGAAGGCAGAUCUCUGGGCCGUAACUGACGCUGAGGAGCGAAAGCAUGGGGAGCGAACAGG